CUGAGCAGCCAUAUCACCACUGAACCUAAGCAGGUGUGAGCCUGGUCAGUACCUGGAUGGGAGACCUCCUGGGAAAAACUAAGGUUGCUGUUGGAA
RNAcentral lists this ribosomal RNA (96 nucleotides) under Lepisosteus oculatus (spotted gar). Lineage: Eukaryota; Metazoa; Chordata; Actinopteri; Semionotiformes; Lepisosteidae. The record is from RNAcentral.